UACGGGGGGGGCAAGCGUUGUUCGGAAUUACUGGGCGUAAAGGGCGCGUAGGCGGUUGGAUAAGUCAGCUGUGAAAACCACGAGCUUAACUCGUGGCCUGCAGUUGAGACUGUCUGGCUUGAGUGUGGGAGAGGAGAGUGGAAUUCCUGGUGUAGCGGUGAAAUGCGUAGAUAUCAGGAGGAACACCGGUGGCGAAGGCGGCUCUCUGGGACGGUACUGACGCUAAGGCGCGAAAGCGUGGGGAGCGAACAGG
RNAcentral lists this ribosomal RNA (253 nucleotides) under uncultured bacterium. Its description in RNAcentral is "partial 16S ribosomal RNA". It matches the Rfam family "Bacterial small subunit ribosomal RNA", at positions 524 to 776 of the family's 1533-position model. The record is from RNAcentral.